Molecule: unclassified non-coding RNA, 409 nt
Filed under: soil metagenome
Description: partial contains 5.8S ribosomal RNA, internal transcribed spacer 2, and large subunit ribosomal RNA
Rfam family: 5.8S ribosomal RNA (bases 1-121)
Source: RNAcentral
GAUGAAGAACGUAGCGAAUUGCGAUAAGUAAUGUGAAUUGCAGAUUUUCAGUGAAUCAUCGAAUCUUUGAACGCACCUUGCGCUCCUUGGUAUUCCGAGGAGCAUGCCUGUUUGAGUGUCAUUUAAUUCUCAACCAUCCCUCGAUUUGUUUCGAGGUUUGGCUUGGAUUUUGGGAGCUGCCGGGCGACCCUACGGUCUUCGGCUCUCCUUAAAAGCAUUAGCGAUGGUGGAACGACCUAACUCCAUGCAUGAACGGCCUUCGACGUGAUAAUGAUCGUCGUGGCUGGAGUGCUAGCGGGCGUCGUGAAGCCAGCGCUUCUAAAUCUCUCGUCGAAAGACGAAACUCGAAACUUGACCUCAAAUCAGGUAGGACUACCCGCUGAACUUAAGCAUAUCAAUAAGCGGAGGA